UACAGAGGUGCCGAGCGUUAGGCGGAAUCACUGGGCUUAAAGCGUGUGUAGGCGGAUGCCUAAGUACCUUGUGAAAUCCCACAGCUCAACUGUGGAACUGCUUGGUAUACUGGGUGUCUUGAGCCACUUAGGGGUUACCGGAACAAAUGAUGGAGCGGUGAAAUGCGUAGAUAUCAUUUGGAACGCCAAUGGUGAAAACAGGUAACUGGGAGUGUGCUGACGCUGAGACACGAAAGCCAGGGGAGCGAACGGG
This 253-nucleotide ribosomal RNA is filed under the name uncultured bacterium. RNAcentral's name for it is "partial 16S ribosomal RNA". It matches the Rfam family "Bacterial small subunit ribosomal RNA", at positions 524 to 776 of the family's 1533-position model. The record is from RNAcentral.